UUACUACCUGUAUUGAUUGUUAAGCACCCAGUAGCUGCCAUUUUUGGUCCGCAAUUUAUUGCUGCGUUAAUUUGCUUGUCUGUAACCAGAUAGAAACCAUAUUAGUUUUUGGUGGAUACCUUGAAGACGUUACUUGCUUAAUUUGAAGAUUGAAGUUUCUUAUUUCUGUGUUGCUGGUCCUGAAUUUUUUGGGAGCUAAAAGCACCUGCUACUUUCAGUUGCUGUCCGUGUCUUUCAGUUGAUUGUUUGUUGUAUUUAAUAGUGUUU
RNAcentral lists this unclassified non-coding RNA (267 nucleotides) under Hevea brasiliensis (rubber tree). The record is from RNAcentral. Lineage: Eukaryota; Viridiplantae; Streptophyta; Magnoliopsida; Malpighiales; Euphorbiaceae.